This 1421-nucleotide ribosomal RNA is filed under the name uncultured Chloroflexota bacterium. RNAcentral describes it as "bacterial SSU rRNA". It matches the Rfam family "Bacterial small subunit ribosomal RNA". The record is from RNAcentral. Lineage: Bacteria; Bacillati; Chloroflexota.
GAUGAACGCUGGCGGCGUGCCUAAUACAUGCAAGUCGAACGGGAGGUACUCCUUCGGGAGUGCCGAGAGUGGCGGACGGGUGAGGAACACGUAGCUGACCUGCCAUUUGCCGGGGGAUAACAUCGGGAAACCGAUGCUAAAACCGCGUAAGCUCUAAGGCAUUAGAAAACUUAGAGGAAAACUUUUGUGGCAAAUGAGGGGGCUGCGGGCCAUCAGGUAGUUGGUGAGGUAAAGGCUCACCAAGCCAACGACGGCUAGGGGACCUGAGAGGGUGACCCCCCACACUGGAACUGAGACACGGUCCAGACUCCUACGGGAGGCAGCAGUAAGGGAUAUUGCACAAUGGGCGCAAGCCUGAUGCAGCAACGCCGCGUGCAGGAAGAAGGGCUUCGGCUCGUAAACUGCUUUUCUGCGGGACGAUGAUGACGGUACCGCAGGAAGAAGUCUCGGCUAACUACGUGCCAGCAGCCGCGGUAAAACGUAGGAGGCGAGCGUUAUCCGGAUUUACUGGGCGUAAAGGGCGUGCAGGAGGCUUGCUAAGUGGUGCGUGAAAGCGCUCGGCUCAACCGGGCGAGGGCGUGCCAAACUGGCAGACUAGAAACAGGCAGAGGAAAGUGGAAUUCGGGGUGUAGUGGUGAAAUGCGUAGAGAUCCCGAGGAACUCCUGUGGCGAAGGCGACUUUCUGGGCCUGCUUUGACACUCAGACGCGAAAGCAUGGGGAGCGAACGGGAUUAGAAACCCCGGUAGUCCAUGCCGUAAACGAUGUCCACUGGGCGUUUGCCUCGCAAGAGGUGAGUGCCGCAGCCAACGCGCUAAGUGGACCGCCUGGGGAGUACGACCGCAAGGUUAAAACUCAAAGGAAUUGACGGGGGCCCGCACAAGCAGCGGAGCGUGUGGUUUAAUUCGAGGCUACACGAAGAACCUUACCCAGGUUUGACAUAGGCGUGGUAGGGAACCGAAAGGGGACCGACCUUCGGGAGCGUCUACAGGUGCUGCAUGGCUGUCGUCAGCUCGUGUCGUGAGAUGUUCGGUUAAGUCCGGUAACGAGCGCAACCCUCGCCGUCAGUUACACGUGUCUGGCGGGACUGCCCGGAGGAACUGGGAGGAAGGUGGGGAUGACGUCAAGUCAGCAUGGCCUUUAUAUCUGGGGCGACACACACGCUACAAUGGUCGGUACAAUGGGCAGCCAAGCCGUGAGGCGGAGCUAAUCCAGUCAAAACCGGCCUCAGUUCGGAUUGCAGGCUGCAACUCGCCUGCUUGAAGUCGGAGUUGCUAGUAAACGCGCAUCAGCCAUGGCGCGUUGAAUACGUUCCCGGGCCUUGUACACACCGCCCGUCACGUCAUGGGAGCUGGUCACGCCUGAAGCCGGUGGGCAAACCUUACGGAUGCAGCCAUCAAAGGCAGGGCUGGUGACUGGGACG